UAUAUAAUAUUAUGCCAGGUAUGAAUUAACAAAUCAAAUCAAAUCAAAUUUCUUUAUUACGAAUAUGGGUAAACAGUGUAGAUGUUAUAAAGACAAAAAGGGUACAGCCAAAUUCUGCCUAUAAGCAUGCAAUAUGUUACAUUAAAUUACAAU
Long non-coding RNA from Maniola jurtina (meadow brown), 153 nucleotides. RefSeq lists it as uncharacterized. The transcript has 3 exons. Lineage: Eukaryota; Metazoa; Arthropoda; Insecta; Lepidoptera; Nymphalidae. The record is from RefSeq and is a predicted model, not a curated record.